This 1063-nucleotide long non-coding RNA is filed under the name Anas platyrhynchos platyrhynchos (common mallard). RNAcentral describes it as "lncRNA (ENSAPLG00000029157.1)". The record is from RNAcentral. Lineage: Eukaryota; Metazoa; Chordata; Aves; Anseriformes; Anatidae.
GUUUUGUUGUAAUCCAGAAAUCUUAAAUUGUCACUCUCUAAUGGAACAAGAAAUGGGUAUUCUAAAUUCAUAAAGAUUUAUAAACAUUCACUGCUGCCAGCUGACAGAUAUAUGCAUCACCUGCGGUUUUCUCAUUCUUCAGUUCUCUCCUAUGAGCCAUGGGAAAAUGAUGUUCUUGCACCCUUCCUGCAGGGGUGAGAAAUCUUAAGAAGGUCAAGUUAGAGAGUCUAAGUGAACUGGAUGACUGAAAAUGAACCAGCGGGGAAGAACAAACCACUUAAUUUGAUAAAUCACGACACAAAAAUAUUGCACAGGAGAUUCCAUUGUGGAUCAUUACUUGCCUUGUGUUUGACAGGGUAGGCACUGGAUGGUUUUAUUGUAGGGCCCAGGACCUGUUGUGUGGCAUCAGAGUAAUGUAAAAUAUUCUGGUUUUGAAUAGUCAGUCCAAGACAAAGGGGUUGUCAGAAAACACUUUUUCUUCCUCAGGGGAGAAGCUGAUGUUUUAUUACAAAAAGCAAUACCCUCCACCCAUACGGAAGCAACACAUAAACCUCUUAAAACUGCAUUUUGGGAUACUGCCUGCAAAGAAGAAAGUUAGCAUUCAGUCCUGAAAAUGGCUUAAAGAGACCCUGGUGGCAGCAGUGGGCAGCGAGCACAUCCAGCUCUGGAGUGCAGAAUGUGGGGAUGCCACCAGGGAUUGAAACAGAAGAGUACUGGAAGAAACAUUUCGUUAUUAAUCAGGCAUAAUAUGCCAGUGGGGGAAAUUAUUAUUCCAGGGACAAGUGAUGCAACCACCAGUGAUUUUAUGCUUCUUCCUAUGCAUAUAGGCAGUGCUGUGCUAUACUUAGAAUAAUAAAUUGAAGUGGUCAGAGAUGAAUUAAUAUAUAUAUUAGCUUAUCUGCCUGGUGACUUUCUUGCUUUAUAACCAGUUUUAAUUGACAAAGGUUAGCUUUAGCCUCAGGUUAGUUUUCCUCUUUAACCAGUGGAGGGGGAAAGGGCAAUUCAGUACAAAAAGCUGACAGAAGUGUUGAUAAGUCAGCCUGAAGCUUUUUAAAAGGAAAAA